This 274-nucleotide ribosomal RNA is filed under the name uncultured bacterium. RNAcentral describes it as "partial 16S ribosomal RNA". It matches the Rfam family "Bacterial small subunit ribosomal RNA", at positions 523 to 796 of the family's 1533-position model. The record is from RNAcentral.
AUACGGAGGGUGCAAGCGUUGUUCGGAAUAACUGGGCGUAAAGGGUUCGUAGGCGGUUAUUUAAGUCAGAUGUGAAAGCCCCGGGCUCAACCUGGGAAUUGCAUCUGAUACUGGGUAACUAGAGUUUAAGAGAGGAGUGUGGAAUUUCCGGUGUAGCGGUGAAAUGCAUAGAGAUCGGAAGGAACAUCAGUGGCGAAGGCGGCACUCUGGCUUAAAACUGACGCUGAGGAACGAAAGCGUGGGUAGCAAACAGGAUUAGAUACCCCAGUAGUCC